Molecule: long non-coding RNA, 301 nt
Filed under: Zostera marina
Lineage: Eukaryota; Viridiplantae; Streptophyta; Magnoliopsida; Alismatales; Zosteraceae
Description: long non-coding RNA (ZMAR_LNC001306)
Source: RNAcentral
CGAUGGCCAUGACCGCAUGGACGCCUAGGCGGUCGUCUGAAAAUAGGGUAAAUUUGCAGAAUUUACCCUGAACUUAUAUAUAUUUGCUAAAAAAUAUGGGUAAAUUCAGAAACAUUUAAAAAAAUAUAUACAUCAAUUUUAAAACCUGAAAUUACUAAUACAAAGUAAUAGACUAUUAAUCUAAAAUUUAAAAUGUAAAUACAUAGAUUAUAAGACUUCUAUGAAUUUAGGGUUAGAAAGGUGCAAGAAACAAGAAAGAAAAGAGGUUAGGGUUUUUUAAAACUCUCAACCUCUUAUUUAA